UGAAUGGGCUAGGGGCCGAGAGGUUACUGAACCCUAUCAAACUAAGAAUGCCAGAUAAUUGUUUUCCGGGAGUCAGACGGCGUGAGAUAAGUUUCGUCGUCAAAAGGGAAAGAGCCCAGACCCACAGCUAAGGUCCCAAAGUAUAGUUAAGUGGAAAAGGAUGUGGGGUUGCCCAGACAACCAGGAUGUUGGCUUAGAAGCAGCCACUCAUUAAAAGAGUGCGUAAUAGCUCACUGGUCGAGUGACCCUGCGCCGAAAAUUCAACGGGGCUAAAUUAUACACCGAAGCUUGGGAUACCGCAAGGUAUGGUAGGAGAGCGUUCUGUAAGGAGUGAAGUGAGAGCGAAAGCGUUCGUGGACUUUACAGAAGUGAGAAUGCCGGAAUGAGUAGCGAGAAAUAUGUGAGAAUCAUAUUGGCCGAAAGUCUAAGGUUUUUGGAGGAAGGUUCGUCCGCUCCAAGUAAGUCGGGAGCUAAGGUGAGGCCUAACGGCGUAGCCGAUGCACAUACGGUAGAUAUUCCGUAACCACCGAAAGAUUUAAACACAGGGACACCUUGAAAGGGCAUAUCCCGGGAGUUGGUUUACCCGGGCGUAAGGGAUCGAAAUUUGAGUAGAGAAGUAUGUUUGGACGAGGGCGAGAAAAGCUGUGUGUAUAUUUUAGGUGCCCGUACCGCAAACCGACACAGGUGGACAGGAAGAGGAUUCUAAGGCCAACGGGAGAAGGGUAAUUAAGGAACUCGGCAAAUUGACCCCGUAACUUAGGGAUAAGGGGUGCUCAUAGGAAUAUGAGCCGCAGAGAAUAGGCCCAGGCAACUGUUUAUCAAAAACACAGGUCUCUGCCAAAUCGAAAGAUGAAGUAUAGGGGCUGACACCUGCCCGGUGCUGGAAGGUUAAGAGGAGGAGUGAGAGCUCCGAAUUGAAGCCCCAGUAAACGGCGGCCGUAACUAUAACGGUCCUAAGGUAGCGAAAUUCCUUGUCGGGUAAGUUCCGACCCGCACGAAUGGUGUAAUGAUCUGGGCACUGUCUCAAUUACCCGCCCGGCGAAAUUGUAGUACCGGUGAAGAUGCCGGUUACCCGCGACAAGACGGAAAGACCCCAUGGAGCUUUACUGCAGCUUGAUAUUGGGUUUCGGUAAUCUAUGUACAGGAUAGGCGGGAGACUAGGAAGUAAAGGCGCCAGCUUUUACGGAGUCGCCCUUGGGAUACCGCUCUUAGAUUGCUGGAAUUCUAACCUGCGGCCAUGAAACUGGUCGGGGAACAUUGUCAGGCGGGCAGUUUGACUGGGGCGGUCGCCUCCUAAAGAGUAACGGAGGCGCUCAAAGGUUGGCUCAGCACGGACGGAAACCGUGCCUCUGAGUGUAAACGCACAAGCCAGCCUAACUGCGAGGAUGACGGUCCGAGCAGUAACGAAAGUUGGAGUUAGUGAUCCGGCGGUAUGUG
This 1437-nucleotide ribosomal RNA is filed under the name human gut metagenome. RNAcentral's name for it is "bacterial LSU rRNA". It matches the Rfam family "Bacterial large subunit ribosomal RNA", at positions 911 to 2432 of the family's 2925-position model. The record is from RNAcentral.